Long non-coding RNA from Etheostoma spectabile (orangethroat darter), 197 nucleotides. RefSeq lists it as uncharacterized. NCBI's taxonomy places the organism in Eukaryota, Metazoa, Chordata, Actinopteri, Perciformes, Percidae. The record is from RefSeq and is a predicted model, not a curated record. The transcript has 3 exons.
AAAUGUUGUGGAAUGUUAGCCUGGUUGACACCAGACCCUUCUCAGUUGUAACUGAGAGUGGGUCUGGGGAAGGUUCAUUGACAGCCCAUUUCCAAAGGGCGUCAUCUCUGAGCACAAUUGGAUAGUCCUUCAACCAAUCCGACUAACGAUCCAGGUGACGUAGCAGCGACAGCGGCAUCAACGGGUUGCUGCGCUUC